CAAAUAAAUAACUGUUUUCACUGUAACUCUUGGCUUAUAUUUUCUCUUUGGGGGCAGUCAUCUUUAAGUGUUCUCUGCUCAGAAGAAUAGCUAAUCUGACUACAAACCAUGCAGGCAGAGAGGUAAUGUGUGUUCAUGAUCCUAAUGUUGGGCAUAUGCUCGGGAAAUCUAAAAAAUGCACACUGGGAUGGUUUCAAACCUUUACACUGUCCAUUGACAGUUCAUGACUUGGACUGCCACCUCCAUAGAACAAAUAUAAGACAGAAGAUUCAAUGAAAUGAGAUAAAAAAGAGAACACACGUACAUAUUUCUUUCCAUUAAGAAAUAAUGCACAGUGAUGCUAUAUUACGUGUAAUUUUUUUUAUUUUCAGUGAUAAUAAAACAUUAUUACAGCUCUCCUUUUUCAAAA
This is a non-coding RNA of Pelobates cultripes (western spadefoot toad), 409 nucleotides long. Lineage: Eukaryota; Metazoa; Chordata; Amphibia; Anura; Pelobatidae. The record is from the annotation of a GenBank genome assembly.